This 253-nucleotide ribosomal RNA is filed under the name uncultured bacterium. RNAcentral's name for it is "partial 16S ribosomal RNA". It matches the Rfam family "Bacterial small subunit ribosomal RNA", at positions 524 to 776 of the family's 1533-position model. The record is from RNAcentral.
UACGAAGGGGGCUAGCGUUGUUCGGAAUCACUGGGCGUAAAGCGCGCGUAGGCGGAUUGUUAAGUCGGGGGUGAAAUCCUGAGGCUCAACCUCAGAACUGCCUUCGAUACUGGCGAUCUUGAGUCCGGGAGAGGUGAGUGGAGUUCCUAGUGUAGAGGUGAAAUUCGUAGAUAUUAGGAAGAACACCAGUGGCGAAGGCGGCUCACUGGCCCGGUACUGACGCUGAGGCGCGAAAGCGUGGGGAGCAAACAGG